Molecule: long non-coding RNA, 978 nt
Organism: Mauremys mutica (yellowpond turtle)
Lineage: Eukaryota; Metazoa; Chordata; Testudines; Geoemydidae
Exons: 3
Source: RefSeq, a predicted model, not a curated record
GAGAGUGGAUAGUGUACCUGGCCGGCCAGCGGAGGGAGCUGCAGGACCCUGGACAGGGCAGUGCUGUGCUGCCAGAAGUCAGGGAGAGCAAGCAGGAGUGCUGGGCUGGCUGAUGGGACUCCACCAGGACAAGACCCUGAGGGUUUGUUCCUGGUGCUUCUUGAAGACUAAGGGGCUCCAUAGGGAAGUGUGUGAUCCAGGCAUAGCAGCAGACAUCCGAAGACUGCAAAUGAGCCUGAUGCUAAUGAAGAGCUUAUGAAUUUACAUGAGAAACUGCAGAGAAAAACAAACAGCAAAGGGGCACCCUGUUUACAAGUAAAGACAAUGGAUUUGGGGGGAAUAACUGGGAAUACUGAAGUACACCUUUGUGCCUUCAGCAAGGAGACGGUUCUCAUUCUGUCUUAUGAGAAGAGUCAGUCAACCUGGGUGGAAAAUGCUGCAGAGCCUUCUCAUGUCUACAUUUAGACUGCUACAUUGCCACUGUAGCACUUCAGUGUAGACAUGACCUAUGCUGACAGGAGUUCUCCCAUCUGUAUAGGUGACCCCAUCCCAGAGCAGCAGUGACUAGGUCAAUGGAAAAAUUCUUCAAUCAACCUAGUGCUGUUUACAUCAGGGGCUAGUCAGCAUAACUACGUCUCUGAGGGCUGGAUUUUUCGCUGAGACAUAGCUAUGGCAAUGUAACCUCCCAGUGUAGACCAGCCCUUUGAGGGAGCAAAACUUUAUCAGAGUAGUUUGGUAAUCAAGUCUAGGCUUUCGAGUGUUAUGGUUGGUUUUUUUUUUUUACAUGAAACCAUUUCUUUUCAAUACUUUGACUUGCUACUACUCAAGACUCUAUAUACUCGUAUGUUUAAAGUCAAACAAGUAAAAAGUUUAAGUGCUAUAUGCUAAACAGUGUAAAAAGCAACACAGAGCCCUAUGGCACCUUAAAGACUAACAGAUGUAUUGGAGCAUAAGCUUUCAUGGGCAAAUACCACUUUG